AAAAAGAUAAACCUUGAUUUUCGUGCCCAACGUUUGAUCAUUCAUCUUAUUUGAAAAAAAUAUAAAAAAAAUUAAAAAGAUAAGUUACGCAUAAAAUAUUAAUCAUGUUUUAUCAUCUAACAACAAUGAAAAUACGAAUUAUAAAAAAAUCAUAUAAGACGGACAAUCAAAGUUGGACACGGAAACCUAGGGUUUGCCUUUUU
RNAcentral lists this microRNA precursor (203 nucleotides) under Oryza nivara. RNAcentral's name for it is "MIR812 microRNA precursor family". It matches the Rfam family "MIR812 microRNA precursor family". Lineage: Eukaryota; Viridiplantae; Streptophyta; Magnoliopsida; Poales; Poaceae. The record is from Rfam by way of RNAcentral.